UAGUCCACGCCGUAAACGAUGAGAACUAGCCGUUGGGCUCCUUGAGGGCUUAGUGGCGCAGCUAACGCGAUAAGUUCUCCGCCUGGGGAGUACGGCCGUAAGGUUAAAACUCAAAUGAAUUGACGGGGGCCCGCACAAGCGGUGGAGCAUGUUGUUUAAUUCGAUGCAACGCGAAGAACCUUACCACCCCUUGACAUCCUCGGAACUUGGCAGAGAUGCCUUGGUGCCUUCGGGAACCGAGUGACAGGUGCUGCAUGGCUGUCGUCAGCUCGUGUCGUGAGAUGUUGGGUUAAGUCCCGUAACGAGCGCAACCCUUGUCCUUAUUUGCCAGCGGGUAAUGCCGGGAACUCUAAGGAGACUGCCGGUGACAAACCGGAGGAAGGUGGGACGACGUCAAGUCAUCAUGGCCCUCACGGGUGGGCUACAAACGUGCUACAAUGGGGGUACAAAGGGCUGCAAACCCGCGAGGGUGAGCGAAUCCCAAAAAACCUCUCGUAGUCCGGAAUGGAGUCUGCAACUCGACUCCA
Molecule: ribosomal RNA, 527 nt
Filed under: uncultured bacterium
Lineage: Bacteria
Description: bacterial SSU rRNA
Rfam family: Bacterial small subunit ribosomal RNA
Source: RNAcentral